AGUGAACGCUGGCGGUAGGCCUAACACAUGCAAGUCGAACGGCAGCACAGUAAGAGCUUGCUCUUACGGGUGGCGAGUGGCGGACGGGUGAGGCAUACAUCGGAAUCUACUUUUUCGGGGGGGAUAACGUAGGGCAACUUAUGCUACUACCUCAUACCAUUUACGAGUGAAAGCAGGGGAUCAUCGUACCUUGCGCGAUUGAAUGAGCCGGUGUCCGAUUAGUUAGUUGGCGGGUUAAAGGCCCACCAAGGCGAGGAACCGUAGCUAGUCUGAGAGGAUGAUCAGCCACAUUGGAUCUGAGACACGGUCCAGACUCCUACGGGAGGCAGCAGUGGGGAAUAUUGGAAAAUGGGCGAGAGCCUGAUCCAGCCAUACCGCGUGGGUGAAGAAGGCCUUCGGGUUGUAAAGCCCUUUGUUGGGAAAGAAAAGCAGCAGGUUAAUACCCCGCUGUUCUGACGGUACCCAAAGAAUAAGCACCGGCUAACUUCGUG
RNAcentral lists this ribosomal RNA (491 nucleotides) under uncultured bacterium. RNAcentral describes it as "partial 16S ribosomal RNA". It matches the Rfam family "Bacterial small subunit ribosomal RNA", at positions 29 to 507 of the family's 1533-position model. The record is from RNAcentral.